UUCAAAUUUUAUCUCAACAGGACAGAAUAGCAAUCCAACUCUGAUACAUCAGCUAACAUACGUCUGUGCUGAACAACAUCACACUGAGAGUGAUGAGGGAAGAGAGACCCAUCUACCCACCCAGACAGAGCACAGCCAAUUGUGCUCUCUCUCUCUCAGACUCCGGCUGCUGAUGACCCGGGAUUCAAACCAGCGAUCCUCAGAUCAUAGUGACAGCGCCUUAAUCUGCAGGACCACUCUGAGUUCAUUUCGAAUUGACUCAGACUGGGGCUAUGCGGUGAUGGACGAGGAAAACGUGAUGCAGCUUGUAUUUCAAACUUCAUACUGCAGGCAAGCAGGACGACGAUGAUGAUGAUUGUCCUGGAACAUGAGCCUACCACAGGACAACAGUGUAAACCAAGGCUGCGAGAAUGUGAGGAGCAGGAUGAUGAUGGUGAGUGUGAUGAUGCGGCUUUGGAGGAGGAAGAUGCUCUGCUGGAGCUGCUGAGAAGCCCACUGUCACCCUGGAGAGAGGAAUAUUCCUGGAGUCCUCAGGCCUUAGCCUUGAGAGAACUGGCAGUGAAGACUCCAGAAAUUCUUAAAGACAACUUCAUUUAUUCAUUCUUCACAGUUCUGCGCAUUGUAGACAAGAGGGUGAGUUUUAUUUAUUUAUUUAUUUAUUUAUCGAGUUCAUUUGUUUUACUUUUCUCUCUUUUAGUUUAGACU
This 705-nucleotide long non-coding RNA is filed under the name Astyanax mexicanus (Mexican tetra). Its description in RNAcentral is "lncRNA (ENSAMXG00005010350.1)". The record is from RNAcentral. Lineage: Eukaryota; Metazoa; Chordata; Actinopteri; Characiformes; Acestrorhamphidae.